UACGAAGGGGGCUAGCGUUGCUCGGAAUCACUGGGCGUAAAGCGCACGUAGGCGGCUUUCUAAGUCAGGGGUGAAAUCCUGGAGCUCAACUCCAGAACUGCCUUCGAUACUGGAAAGCUCGAGUCCGGGAGAGGUGAGUGGAACUGCGAGUGUAGAGGUGAAAUUCGUAGAUAUUCGCAAGAACACCAGUGGCGAAGGCGGCUCACUGGCCCGGUACUGACGCUGAGGUGCGAAAGCGUGGGGAGCAAACAGG
RNAcentral lists this ribosomal RNA (253 nucleotides) under uncultured bacterium. RNAcentral's name for it is "partial 16S ribosomal RNA". It matches the Rfam family "Bacterial small subunit ribosomal RNA", at positions 524 to 776 of the family's 1533-position model. The record is from RNAcentral.